RNAcentral lists this non-coding RNA (29 nucleotides) under Homo sapiens (human). The record is from RNAcentral. Lineage: Eukaryota; Metazoa; Chordata; Mammalia; Primates; Hominidae.
UCCUAGGACGUGGAUUUGGUACUAGAGCC